GACGAACGCUGGCGGCGUGCUUAACACAUGCAAGUCGAACGGAAAGGCCUGCUUUCCCUUGUGGAUUGCGGGUACUCGAGUGGCGAACGGGUGAGUAACACGUGAGUGAUCUGCCCCCAACUUGGGUAUAAGCCUGGGAAACUGGGUCUAAUUCCCGAUAGGACUGCAGGGUGGUGCCUGUGGUGGAAAACGAUUUUCUAGUGGUUGGGGAUGAGCUCGCGGCCUAUCAGCUUGUUGGUGGGGUAAUGGCCUACCAAGGCGGCGACGGGUAGCCGGCCUGAGAGGGUGGACGGCCACAUUGGGACUGGGAUACGGCCCAGACGCCUACGGGAGGCAGCAGUGGGGAAUAUUGGACAAUGGGCGGAAGCCUGAUGCAGCGACGCCGCGUGGGGGAUGACGGCCUUCGGGUUGUAAACUCCUUUCGACCGCGAGGAAGCCACCUGGUUGGAAGGGUGGUGACGGUAGUGGUAGAAGAAGCACCGGCUAACUACGUG
This 494-nucleotide ribosomal RNA is filed under the name uncultured bacterium. RNAcentral describes it as "partial 16S ribosomal RNA". It matches the Rfam family "Bacterial small subunit ribosomal RNA", at positions 28 to 507 of the family's 1533-position model. The record is from RNAcentral.